CAACCGUACCUUAACGUUCAAACGCGAUUCGAUUCGAGAUCGUCGGAAGCAGCGGAAGUACUCUGAGCUUCCAGAGAUUUGACUGAAACUGCAGCCACACUACGAAGAUAGUGAUAUCUCGUAGGAUAUUAUACACAUAAGGAGUGAAAUAUUCAGCUCGAAGAAUUGGAUCGGGAGAAUCGUCUCCGAGAGACCAAUCAUAUUGGCUUAUUUGAAGCCUCGAAGCACCGCAAUGUCCAGAGAGGAACUAUUUUCUGCGUUAUAUCUAAUUGAAAUUGCGUCAUUUUACGAAGACAGCGAUGAUAUCUGACGCAAGGAGCGAAAUAUUAAGAUCAGAUUCGGAAAAAUCGUCUCCAGAAGGCUAUCAAGUGCGAUGUAGCGCGCUGAGUGUUGUGCGAUCUUCAAAACUAUAAUAAACUUACGGCGCGCUCUAAGUUACAAUAGCUUGGGUAUGAAAACGAGCGUAUUACGAUGUAUAUGCAUUUUUUCACCUUUCCUGAGUUAGCUCAACGUUCGUGCGACAAACUAUGACACACUGCAAAUGCGAUCGUCAUUCUAGGAUUACGAGCAGAGUAUCUGAAACAUACAGGGAGUACUAUUUUCAUUUGAAUUGAAAGUAAAAUAGAUAAUUACGAAAUAAACGAUCUUAUAAUUUUGAUAAUCUGUACUUAACUUAGUUAUGUUCGAUGUGACCAACUGGAAACAACUUGGCCAUUGUCACUAAUUAGAAACAUUAUUUUUUCUGUUUUGUCUCUUUGUCUAUCUCUUUCCAUCUCUAUCUUUCACUCUAUUUAAAUAAUUCAAUAAUUUGUAUUUUUAAUAAUAUGCAUUUUUAUAACCUUUAUAACAUAAGAUCAUAAAAAAUGUUUCGUAAUUAACUCUAAUUACGUAAUGAAAGUAAGUGUAGAUUUCUGUUCACAAAAGACAAUGCCAUUGUAACAAAUUACUUCAUCAUGUCAAGGAUUUAAAGUUCAUUUAAAUUUUCAUUUAAUUAUUUAUUUAAUUGUUCAUUUAAGAUAAGUAUAUUUCUACGCACUAUAUUCUUAAUAUAAAAUCAUAUUUGCUAUUUGUGAGACGAUAUUUUUAUCUUCUGUAUAAAUUAAUAAUAUUCAUCUAUUUUUAUUAAUGUUAAGUGAUUUGUUGCACAUUUUU
Odontomachus brunneus is the source of this 1152-nucleotide long non-coding RNA. RefSeq lists it as uncharacterized. The record is from RefSeq and is a predicted model, not a curated record. NCBI's taxonomy places the organism in Eukaryota, Metazoa, Arthropoda, Insecta, Hymenoptera, Formicidae. The transcript is spliced from 4 exons.